AGUCGAGGGGUAUAGGCUUUCGGGCCUAGAGACCGGCGCACGGGUGCGUAACGCGUAUGCAAUCUGCCUUGUACAAAGGGAUAGCCCAGAGAAAUUUGGAUUAAUACCUUAUAGUAUAUAGAUGUGGCAUCACAUUUAUAUUAAAGAUUUAUCGGUACAAGAUGAGCAUGCGUCCCAUUAGCUAGUUGGUAUGGUAACGGCAUACCAAGGCAAUGAUGGGUAGGGGUCCUGAGAGGGAGAUCCCCCACACUGGUACUGAGACACGGACCAGACUCCUACGGGAGGCAGCAGUGAGGAAUAUUGGACAAUGGGCGCAAGCCUGAUCCAGCCAUGCCGCGUGCAGGAUGAAGCAUCUAUGGUGUGUAAACUGCUUUUAUACGGGAAGAAACCCUGGCUCGUGAGCCAGAUUGACGGUACCGUAGGAAUAAGGAUCGGCUAACUCCGUGCCAGCAGCCGCGGUAAUACGGAGGAUCCAAGCGUUAUCCGGAAUCAUUGGGUUUAAAGGGUCCGUAGGCGGUUUUAUAAGUCAGUGGUGAAAUCCGGUAGCUCAACUAUCGAACGGCCAUUGAUACUGUAGAACUUGAAUUAUUGUGAAGUAACUAGAAUAUGUAGUGUAGCGGUGAAAUGCUUAGAUAUUACAUGGAAUACCAAUUGCGAAGGCAGGUUACUAACAAUAUAUUGACGCUGAUGGACGAAAGCGUGGGGAGCGAACAGGAUUAGAUACCCUGGUAGUCCACGCCGU
RNAcentral lists this ribosomal RNA (742 nucleotides) under uncultured Bacteroidota bacterium. RNAcentral's name for it is "bacterial SSU rRNA". It matches the Rfam family "Bacterial small subunit ribosomal RNA", at positions 60 to 803 of the family's 1533-position model. Lineage: Bacteria; Pseudomonadati; Bacteroidota. The record is from RNAcentral.